This 507-nucleotide ribosomal RNA is filed under the name uncultured bacterium. Its description in RNAcentral is "bacterial SSU rRNA". It matches the Rfam family "Bacterial small subunit ribosomal RNA", at positions 28 to 524 of the family's 1533-position model. The record is from RNAcentral.
GACGAACGCUGGCGGCGUGGAUUAGGCAUGCAAGUCGAACGGUAUCAUCCUUUCGGGGGUGAGAGAGUGGCGAACUGGUGAGUAACACGUAGGUUAUCUACCCUCAAGACGGGGACAACCCAGGGAAACUUGGGCUAAUACCGGAUGUGAGCAACUUUUAGUUGUUUGAAAGGUGGCGUAAGCUGUCGCUUGGGGAUGAGCCUGCGUCCUAUUAGUUAGUUGGUGAGGUAACGGCUCACCUAGGCAAUGAUAGGUAGGCGGCCUUAACGGGUGGUCGCCCACGACUGGGAUUGAGAUACGGCCCAGACUCCUACGGGAGGCAGCAGUCGAGAAUAGUCUACAAUGGUCGGAAGACUGAUAGUGCGACGCCGCGUGAACGAUGAAUCCCUUCGGGGUGUAAAGUUCUUUUAUAUGUGAGCAGUGCUUCUUAUAUUAACAGUAUGGGGAAGAGAUAUUAGCAUAUGAAUAAGCAAACGGCUAAACUCCGUGCCCAGCAGCCCGGGUAAU